GACAGAGGGUGCAAACGUUGUUCGGAAUUAUUGGGCGUAAAGCGCGUGUAGGCGGCUUUGCAAGUCGGGUGUGAAAGCUCCUGGCUUAACCGGGAGUGGUCGGUGGAAACUGCCAAUCUGGAGGACGGUAGAGGUAGGUAGAAUUCCCGGUGUAGUGGUGAAAUGCGUAGAGAUCGGGAGGAAUACCUGUGGCGAAGGCGGCCUACUGGGCCGGACCUGACGCUGAGACGCGAAGGCGUGGGGAGCGAACGGG
This 253-nucleotide ribosomal RNA is filed under the name uncultured bacterium. RNAcentral's name for it is "partial 16S ribosomal RNA". It matches the Rfam family "Bacterial small subunit ribosomal RNA", at positions 524 to 776 of the family's 1533-position model. The record is from RNAcentral.